CCUAUCUCACACUCAUCAUCCUCUUGGUUCUCUCUCUCUCUCUCAACUCUCUCAUCUUCACACCGGUUCUCUCUAGUCCCAUUUGUUGAGCCGCUAAAACAGACCUCGACAAGCUACCCUGUCCUUCUCUGUGUAUCUCUCCCAGUCGCUAGCUAGAAGAAAGAACCUAGGGAGUGUCGAUUGUGCCGCCGUUGAUAUGUCUAAGCUUGGCAAUUAUUGGUUUGAUUUUGUUUGGAAAUUUUGGCUCUCUUUCCUUCUUUGUGACUCUCUCUCCAUCAAUCGGAUGUUAGCAUGGAGGUGGGACUGUGGGGAUGGUGUUGUAACUGCGAAGACUUCAAUGGGACUAGGGUACCAUUGCCGUGAAGAAAAUGGUCUAUUUUGAUUACAUCCCCAAUUAUCUAAAAUGAAUGAGUGGUUUGCUGGAUUGGAGAGUAAUAGAUGGCACGUGAGGUAGAAAGCCCCUCUGUUUUGACUCGAUCCUCAUUUCAGAUGCCCAUUCCUCUCUUCUCGACACCGUUCGGUAUUGAAAAUUACCAAGUUUUAAUAUUUAUAUUGGAUCUCUUUAUAAACUCAGUAUGUUUUGAAUUUGUG
This is a long non-coding RNA of Humulus lupulus (European hop), 591 nucleotides long. RefSeq lists it as uncharacterized. The record is from RefSeq and is a predicted model, not a curated record. Lineage: Eukaryota; Viridiplantae; Streptophyta; Magnoliopsida; Rosales; Cannabaceae. The transcript has 4 exons.